This 758-nucleotide long non-coding RNA is filed under the name Vigna radiata. RNAcentral describes it as "long non-coding RNA (VRAD_LNC009804)". The record is from RNAcentral. Lineage: Eukaryota; Viridiplantae; Streptophyta; Magnoliopsida; Fabales; Fabaceae.
ACUGACAUUUCCAAUCCCGUAUACACGUCCCUUGUAUUUUCCACCAGCAGCCUCUAACCAACAUCGGUUUCUCAAUCUUUCCUCUUCGGCAGGAUCUAGAGGACUACUUGCCGAGACACCAACAGAUGCAUUCUCACAUCUUAUUUCAGAAAACUUUGCUACAAAUUGUUCCUGUUAAUACAAUAAAUAUUAUCAGUAAACAUAAGGUUUAGAAACUGACAAUGUAUAAUGUGAUAGAUUUAGUAGAAACUUACAUGGGUCCGCCUAGACCUUUCGUCCACAAAUUCCCCCGUUGAGUGAUGAAUAUGUGUUUGCUGAAAUAUUUCAUCAACAUGCACAGACCGGCCAAGCUCCUGUGACUACAAAUAAAAUGAGUUGUUAAUAUCAAUUUUUGUAAAGCUUAUGAUUACAAAUUUAAGAAAUAAAAUGUACAAGUUACAUACCAAAUGAAUAGCAUGCUCAUGCACACUAAUAGAUCCUCCUAUGUGCAAACAACCACCCUUUUGAGAUGUGCAAUUCUUCUUAGCUGUUUCACACUUUUUUCUAUAUANUGGCAUGUUCCACUUUUCCAGAAGAGCAUUCCAAGUAUCAUCCCCCAGCCAAUUAGGUCUUUUUCCUAGAGUUCUAGCUUUUUUAUACAUCUCUGAGAGUCUAUGAGAUGCCUUGGUUUGAAAUUUUUUUUUUACCUUUUCCUCAUCUUCAGGAUUCCAUGAAACCUUUCUCUAUUAUAUAUUAGAAAGAAUAGUGAGAAUAGCUAG